Molecule: ribosomal RNA, 229 nt
Filed under: uncultured bacterium
Lineage: Bacteria
Description: partial 16S ribosomal RNA
Rfam family: Bacterial small subunit ribosomal RNA
Source: RNAcentral
CGUGUAGGCGGAUAUAUAAGCCUGGUGUUAAAGGCUUCGGCUCAACCGAAGUUUGGCGCUGGGAACUGUAUGUCUAGAGUACAGGAGGGGGAGUUGGAAUUCCUGGUGUAGGGGUGAAAUCUGUAGAUAUCAGGAAGAACACCGGUGGCGAAGGCGAACUCCUGGCCUGUUACUGACGCUGAGGCGCGAAAGCGUGGGGAGCGAACAGGAUUAGAUACCCUGGUAGUCC